AUGAGCAGAGGUGGUAAAUUCAAAAGAAAUGAUAAGAAACACCUUGCACAAUUUUUUAAGGUAGAAGUGAGGAGUAUACAAAGAGUUUGGCAGAAGGCGAUGGAGCAAAUUUCAGAAGGUUUAGAGGUGAAUGUUUCCGAUCAGAGAAAAGGAAACUCUGGAAGAAAGCCAAAGAACAUCAAUUUAGAGCAAAUCCCUACUAUUCCACUAAACAAGAGGUCCACUAUCAGAUCUUUAGCUUGGCAACUGGGAUGUAGCCCUACCACACUGCAUAGAAACUUCAAGCUGAAUUUGAUAAAGAGGCACACAAACUAUGUGAAGCCAGCUCUGAAGGAAAAGAAUAAGAAGGAUAGGAUGGAAUUUUGCAUGUCAAUGCUUGAUGAGACAACGAUAGAAACUUCAAGGCCUAAAUGGAAGACAAUGCAUAAUGUUGUGCUCAUUGAUGAGAAAUGGUUCAAUAUGACCAAGAAAAAUAAGACCUACUAUCUGUUGGAUGGGGAGGAGGAGCCUACGAGGCCUAUACAUGGCAACUGCAUUGGCAAGGUGAUGUUCUUGACGGCCGUUGCUAGGCCAAGGUGGGAUCGUGAAGGAAACGUGACCUUCUCUGGGAAAAUCGGUAUCUGGCCAUUCGUGAAAGAAGUUUCUGCUCAGAGGAGAAGUGAUAACAGGCCCAGAGGUACAAUAGAGACAAAGUCAAUAAAGGUGGACAGAAAAGUGAUGAGGGAGUUCCUAAUAGAGAAGGUCUUGCCAGCGAUACAAGCAGUUUGGCCUGAAAGUGAUGCUGGACAGACCAUCUACAUUCAACAUGAUAAU
Molecule: ribosomal RNA, 813 nt
Filed under: Triticum aestivum (bread wheat)
Lineage: Eukaryota; Viridiplantae; Streptophyta; Magnoliopsida; Poales; Poaceae
Description: partial small subunit ribosomal RNA
Source: RNAcentral